Molecule: ribosomal RNA, 802 nt
Filed under: Bowmanella denitrificans
Lineage: Bacteria; Pseudomonadati; Pseudomonadota; Gammaproteobacteria; Alteromonadales; Alteromonadaceae
Description: bacterial SSU rRNA
Rfam family: Bacterial small subunit ribosomal RNA
Source: RNAcentral
CUAGCUUGCUAGUUUGAUGACGAGCGGCGGACGGGUGAGUAAUACUUAGGAACUUGCCUCUUGGAGGGGGACAACAGUUGGAAACGACUGCUAAUACCGCAUGAUGUCGCAAGACCAAAGGGGGCUUCGGCUCCUGCCAAGAGAGAGGCCUAAGUGAGAUUAGCUAGUUGGUGGGGUAAAGGCUCACCAAGGCGACGAUCUCUAGCUGUUCUGAGAGGAAGAUCAGCCACACUGGGACUGAGACACGGCCCAGACUCCUACGGGAGGCAGCAGUGGGGAAUAUUGGACAAUGGGGGCAACCCUGAUCCAGCCAUGCCGCGUGUGUGAAGAAGGCCUUCGGGUUGUAAAGCACUUUCAGUGGUGAGGAAAGGGUAACGGUUAAUACCCGUUAUCUGUGACGUUAGCCACAGAAGAAGCACCGGCUAACUCCGUGCCAGCAGCCGCGGUAAUACGGAGGGUGCGAGCGUUAAUCGGAAUUACUGGGCGUAAAGCGCACGCAGGCGGAUUGUUAAGCUAGAUGUGAAAGCCCCGGGCUUAACCUGGGAAUUGCAUUUAGAACUGGCAGUCUAGAGUCUUGGAGAGGGGAGUGGAAUUCCAGGUGUAGCGGUGAAAUGCGUAGAGAUCUGGAGGAACAUCAGUGGCGAAGGCGGCUCCCUGGCCAAAGACUGACGCUCAUGUGCGAAAGCGUGGGUAGCGAACAGGAUUAGAUACCCUGGUAGUCCACGCCGUAAACGAUGUCUACUAGCUGUCUGUGGCUUUAAGUCGUGGGUAGCGCAGCAAACGCGCUAAGUAGACCGCCUGG